UGGGGAAUAUUGCACAAUGGGCGCAAGCCUGAUGCAGCGACGCCGCGUGAGGGAUGACGGCCUUCGGGUUGUAAACCUCUGUUAGCAUCGAAGAAGCGAAAGUGACGGUAGGUGCAGAGAAAGCGCCGGCUAACUACGUGCCAGCAGCCGCGGUAAUACGUAGGGCGCGAGCGUUGUCCGGAAUUAUUGGGCGUAAAGAGCUUGUAGGCGGUUGGUCGCGUCUGCUGUGAAAGGCCGGGGCUUAACUCCGGUUUUGCAGUGGGUACGGGCUAACUAGAGUGCAGUAGGGGAGACUGGAAUUCCUGGUGUAGCGGUGGAAUGCACAGAUAUCAGGAGGAACACCGAUGGCGAAGGCAGGUCUCUGGGCUGUAACUGACGCUGAGAAGCGAAAGCAUGGGGAGCGAACAGGCUUAGAUACCCUGGUAGUCCACGCUGUAAACGGUGGGUACUAGGUGUGGGGUCCAUUCCACGGGUUCCGUGCCGUAGCUAACGCUUUAAGUACCCCGCCUGGGGAGUACGGCCGCAAGGCUA
Molecule: ribosomal RNA, 531 nt
Filed under: uncultured bacterium
Lineage: Bacteria
Description: bacterial SSU rRNA
Rfam family: Bacterial small subunit ribosomal RNA
Source: RNAcentral